UCAUCGGCCUCAGAUUGGUAGGACUACCCGCUGAACUUAAGCAUAUCAAUAAGCGGAGGAAAAGAAACUAACAAGGAUUCCCCUAGUAACGGCGAGUGAAGAGGGAAGAGCCCAAGAUUGAAAGCUGGCACCUUCGGUGUCCGCAUUGUAAUCUCAAGAAGUGUUUUCCGCUUCGGACCAUGCCUAAGUCUCCUGGAAAGGAGCAUCAUAGAGGGUGAUAAUCCCGUACAUGGCAUGGAGCGCCCGAAGCUUUGUGAUACGCUUUCUAAGAGUCGAGUUGUUUGGGAAUGCAGCUCAAAAUGGGUGGUAAAUGCCAUCUAAGGCUAAAUAUUGGGGAGAGACCGAUAGCGAACAAGUACAGUGAUGGAAAGAUGAAAAGAACUUUGAAAAGAGAGUUAAACAGUACGUGAAAUUGCCAAAAGGGAAGGGUAGGAGGUCAGAGAUGCCGUCUGGGAUUCAGCCUUGCUUUUGCUUGGUGUUUUUCCCAGUUGGCAGGCCAACGUCGGUUUUGGGCACUGGAGAAGGGUGGGAGGAAUGUGGCACCCCUCGGGGUGUGUUAUAGCCUCCUACUGGAUACAGCGACCGAGACCGAGGACAGCAGCGUACUCGCAAGAGCGGGCCUUCGGGCACCUUUACGCUUAGGGC
This 645-nucleotide ribosomal RNA is filed under the name Pseudozyma sp. DMST 17137. Its description in RNAcentral is "eukaryotic LSU rRNA". It matches the Rfam family "Eukaryotic large subunit ribosomal RNA", at positions 1 to 624 of the family's 3401-position model. Lineage: Eukaryota; Fungi; Basidiomycota; Ustilaginomycetes; Ustilaginales; Ustilaginaceae. The record is from RNAcentral.